UAACCACUAGGCUACCCUGCCGCCCCUAUGGUGGACCAUGUGGUCCACCAUGAUUUGACCUUUAGAGAGGCUGUUCAGAGAGUGCUGCCCAGUCUAAGCCACCUCACCGUAGCAUCCUUCAUCCGGACGUUCCAAAAUGAGAAUAGAACUGAAAGACGACCACCACGUACGUGGUGGUAGAACGCGUCUGUUUACCAGACAAACAGGAAGCUGCCAUUAUCCAAACGCCCCUAUUGAGGAGCUGUUUUUCAGCCUGGCGGUGGAAGGUGUAUCAUCACAAACCCCAUGAACGUACGGCCCUUCUCCAGGCAAUGAGAGGCGGCUGUCGUGACAUUCCCGUCCUGUCAGAGGUGAAUGCGUCAUGCCAGAAGAUAUUUCCCCCGCUGUCUGGUCGAGGAGAAUGUCACCUGUGAUGUUGAUUUAAAAUCUGUGGCAACAGAUAAGCCUGAUUUUUGGUUUUUUUCGCAAUGGGAUUAUUUGUUUCUUGACAGUUUCUUUAUCUUUUCUGUACAAUUGAUCUAAAAUACAGCACAGUAGUACAAAUAGACCUAUUUUUCUUCCUUUGCAUAUGCAAAAAUAUUUACUGUAUGUUUGCAUUUGUACUGUAUUUGUGCUUACAGUCUGCUGUUUGACAUGUAUUGAGUCAUGUUGAAAUAUAAAACUAACA
This is a long non-coding RNA of Oncorhynchus keta (chum salmon), 667 nucleotides long. RefSeq lists it as uncharacterized. Lineage: Eukaryota; Metazoa; Chordata; Actinopteri; Salmoniformes; Salmonidae. The transcript is spliced from 3 exons. The record is from RefSeq and is a predicted model, not a curated record.